UCUUCCCAUUUCCCUGCAAUUGCUUUUAGUACAAGAAUAUUGGGGGGAAGUUUAUAUCGAGUCUUUAGUGAAUAAGGGUUGUGCUCUGCAGCCCCACUAUUCACACCCAAACCUCCUCUUCACGCUAGCCUGCAUUCCCUUCUGGGUCAAGUCCAUGCAGCGAUGGUGAUACUGACCGCACCUCCAGCUCCAGGCAUGGUAUCCAUGUGGAGGAUCGAUUCUGUUUGGAUAUUCCCCGUGGGCAGACGUACCAUGCUGACAUUCUGCAGAGUCUGCAUGCGGAGAGCCUGAAACGACUCCAGCUGGUGCUGCAGGGCCUGUAACACAGUGAACAAGGCGUGGGGUUGAGCGUUUCGGGGAGGCGAACCUGUGCUUGAACUGCCAUGGCUUUGUGUGAGUUUCCCCGAAGACGCCACUUAGCAGGAAGGACCCCAGGAAGGCCAGGUGACGCACAGUCUUUGCCAUGCCUGCUAACUCCAAUGCAUCUUCCUGAAGAUUCUUGUGGAAAACCCAUACGCACUGAGAGAUUAUUUCUGAAAACGACCAGCCCUUUAUAAGCGUGUUUGGAGAAAAUAAAACAUACUCACUUUCA
Molecule: long non-coding RNA, 592 nt
Organism: Eptesicus fuscus (big brown bat)
Lineage: Eukaryota; Metazoa; Chordata; Mammalia; Chiroptera; Vespertilionidae
Exons: 2
Source: RefSeq, a predicted model, not a curated record